GACGAACGCUGGCGGCGUGCUUAACACAUGCAAGUCGAACGGAAAGGCCCUGCUUUUGUGGGGUGCUCGAGUGGCGAACGGGUGAGUAACACGUGAGUAACUUGCCCUUGACUUUGGGAUAACUUCAGGAAACUGGGGCUAAUACCGGAUAGGGGCUCCUGCUGCAUGGUGGGGGUUGGAAAGUUUCGGCGGUUGGGGAUGGACUCGCGGCUUAUCAGCUUGUUGGUGGGGUAGUGGCUUACCAAGGCUUUGACGGGUAGCCGGCCUGAGAGGGUGACCGGCCACAUUGGGACUGAGAUACGGCCCAGACUCCUACGGGAGGCAGCAGUGGGGAAUAUUGCACAAUGGGCGGAAGCCUGAUGCAGCAACGCCGCGUGCGGGAUGACGGCCUUCGGGUUGUAAACCGCUUUCGCCUGUGACGAAGCGUGAGUGACGGUAAUGGGUAAAGAAGCACCGGCUAACUACGUG
Molecule: ribosomal RNA, 468 nt
Filed under: uncultured bacterium
Lineage: Bacteria
Description: partial 16S ribosomal RNA
Rfam family: Bacterial small subunit ribosomal RNA
Source: RNAcentral